GCCGGGCAUGGUGGUGGGCGCCUGUAAUCCCAGCUACUCGGGAGGCUGAGAUGGGAGAAUUGCUCGAACCUGGGAAGCGGAGGUUGCAGUGAGCCAAGAUCCUGCCACUGCACUCCAGCCUGGGUGACAGAACGAGACUCUGUCCUAAAAAAAAAAAAAAAAAAGAGAGACAGAGUCUCUCUGUCACCCAGGCUGGAGUGCAGUGGUGUGAUCAGAGUUCACUGCAGCCUCAAACUCCUGGGCUCAAGCCACCCGCCCCU
RNAcentral lists this long non-coding RNA (260 nucleotides) under Homo sapiens (human). Its description in RNAcentral is "non-protein coding lnc-STPG1-4:1". Lineage: Eukaryota; Metazoa; Chordata; Mammalia; Primates; Hominidae. The record is from RNAcentral.